AUGGUCAUGACCUUAGGGCUUUUAUUCUACACUCUCUUUACCUUUAGGUACCAAAAUAUCUUCAAAAAGUAAGAAAGAUUUUCCAUUUUCACAAAAAUUAAAGAAUAAGUUGGAGGUUUGAUCAUGGGGACUUGUAGUUGCUUUUUUGGGUCUACUAAUGAGGGUUGAAGAACAUUUAUCAUAUAUUUAAAUUUUUCUGGUUUGGAUAGCAGAUUAUGGCUUUGGAGUUUUCAAAGUUGUAAUAUAAGGAAGCAGAGAUUCGGGUAUGAAAGUUGUAGUAUGGAGAUGGAGGAGAUUCGAACUGAUGAGUGCAAGUUUCCAAGAAUGAGCAACAAGGAAGAUGAGCAGUACCAACAAUAUGAUGUAGAUGAUGUAGGAGAAGUCAAAAAGAGUAGCGGACUUGGUGGGAUUGUAAAGUUUUAUGGUCGGCCUUCAUCAAGAAUAGUUAGAGUUUCUCGUGCAUCUGGAGGGAAAGAUAGGCAUAGCAAAGUAUUGACUUCAAAGGGGUUAAGAGAUAGACGUGUUCGCCUUUCUGUCAAUACUGCUAUACAGUUCUAUGAUUUGCAAGACCGUCUCGGCUGUGAUCAGCCCAGCAAGGCUGUCGAAUGGCUGCUAAAAGCGGCCGCUCCUUCUAUUGCUGAGCUUCCACCUCUUGAGGCAUUUCCAGACACACUGCAGCUGAGUGAUGAGAAAAAGUCAAGUGAGCAGGGUUUUGAUUCAGCUGAUGUGGAAAUGGAUGAUGAUCUUCAUUAUAAUCAGCAGCAACAACCUUGUUGUAGCAAUUCAGAGACUAGCAAGGGUUCUGGAUUGUCACUUUCCAGAUCUGAUAGUCGGCUCAAGGCAAGGGAGCGAGCAAAGGAAAGGGCCACAGAGAAAGAAAAGGAAAAAGAAAACAAGUCUUGUAUUGUUGGUCAACACCACCAAAACAUGCACCCUGGCUCGUCUUUCACUGAGCUAUUGACGGGUGGUAUGAGCGAUAACAACACGAGUCCUAAUGGUGGGUCCAUCCACCAAAAUACAGCAAGGCAAUGGUCUACAAAUCCGUUGGAGUAUUUUACAUCAGGAUUACUAGGCCCAUCAGCUACUCGUGGAAUAGACAACCAAAUAUAUUUGGGAAAUCCUCUACAGCCAUUAAGACCAAUGUUUAGUAUUACGGGUGAGCAUAGAGCGGAGCUGCAGAAUUUCCCAUUUGGUGGUGACAACCUAGUUCCGGGUGUUACCUCUAGUAAUACUAGUACUAAUUAUAACGAGUACAAUUUGAACUUCAGCAUUUCUUCUUCAUCAUCAU
Molecule: unclassified non-coding RNA, 1288 nt
Filed under: Hevea brasiliensis (rubber tree)
Lineage: Eukaryota; Viridiplantae; Streptophyta; Magnoliopsida; Malpighiales; Euphorbiaceae
Source: RNAcentral